GCCGUUUGCUGUUGCGGUCAUUGUGCUACACCUCACUACUUCAUUCUGCUUCGUGCCAGUAGCUGUUUUCAUUCUUGGAGUUGCAACUGGACUUGAAAUGAUGAGCUGUAGAAUGCUUUUAAAAAUGUGUUGUCGGGGAAGCUUUGAGGCUUAUAUUCAUGGAGAUUUUUGUUAAAAGGAAGGGUCUCAAACUAAACUCUAUUUCUGUCAUGUACUACGUUAGUCCCUACAGGCAUGUAUUUUCAUCUGCCAAAGUUCAAUUGUUAUCAUUAUUUCUUUCACCAUUUGAUGUUUGUAUACAGAACCUUUUUACCAUGUGAACGGAAUCAUAGUUCUUGUGUAGUGCUCUUUGCUUGUUCAUCUGUGGAUUUUUCUAGAGAAGCCAAAGAUGGAUGCCCAAGGGACAUGGAGCUUUCAACCUGUUAUCCUGACACUCAACUCUCUCUGUACUUUUGCUCUCAAUCUAUCAGUUUUUCUUGUGAUCUCGCAUACAAGUGCUUUGGCAAUUCAUGUUACUGGAGUUGUCAAGGAUUGGGUGGUUACUAUCAGCCCUUCUGUUUGCCGAUACAAUGCUGACAAUGAUAAAUCUGUUUGGUUAUGGCAUUGCCAUUACAGGUGUAGCACCACAAGUUGAAAAAGGAAGCUUCUCGAGGCUCCUCUGAUGAGUCUCAACAAGCUGAAUCUACGCCAUUAACUUCAUCCUCAAUUACUGAAGGUAGAUAAAUAGAAAGCGGUCUCACAGUUUAGUCCGAGGGAUGCAAGUUUAGUUGUACAAAUUGUUCAAUCUGACUUUGCCCUCAAAGUAUAAGGAGUUUGAAGUAAGAUUUGUGGUACACAUUCUUUGACCCUGAGAAGCCAUCGGGUAUGCAGAAUUUUGAUUUGAUAAGGCUCAUUUUGUAUGUUCUUUGCUUUUUUAUGUUGAUUGUUAC
Molecule: non-coding RNA, 929 nt
Organism: Camellia sinensis
Lineage: Eukaryota; Viridiplantae; Streptophyta; Magnoliopsida; Ericales; Theaceae
Source: RefSeq, a predicted model, not a curated record